AAAGUCGUAACAAGGUUUCCGUAGGUGAACCUGCGGAAGGAUCAUUACUGAGUUAAUAAGGUUUACGAGCCCUUUGGGGUGAGUACUCCUUUCUUCUCUUCACCCUUUGUUAUUAUUACUUAGUUGCUUUGGUAGAGUGCUUCGGCCUCUACCAAGGGACCAUUUUAAACACUUUGUUAUCCAAUAAUUGGUAGUCUUCAGUCUGAUUUUUAUAACUUAAUAAGUAAAUAAAACUUUCAACAACGGAUCUCUUGGUUCUG
This 260-nucleotide unclassified non-coding RNA is filed under the name fungal sp. RNAcentral's name for it is "partial contains small subunit ribosomal RNA, internal transcribed spacer 1, and 5.8S ribosomal RNA". The stretch from base 1 to 47 matches the Rfam family "Eukaryotic small subunit ribosomal RNA", at positions 1785 to 1831 of the family's 1831-position model. The record is from RNAcentral. Lineage: Eukaryota; Fungi.